UUUGACUGUGGGGAAUGAAUGGCCUGAGCCAGUUACUAUUAGUUAGACUGCUGAAAACUGAUGCCAUGUUAAUGGUUGUGUCUAAUUCAGUUUAACUAUUUCAUUGAUUCAUCUUGUGAAGAGUGAAAUUCUGUGUUUUUGAAAAAAUGCUCUGGUUUGUUGGUAAUUGUUGAUUAUUGAAGCAAUAAUAAAGUCAUUUGCUUUUAGGAACUGGGUUUCUUCUCUCACAUCCCUCGAUUAAUAUCUAUUUCCUAUUGCUCACAUCAUGUUUGAGCAGUUGUUUGAUUCUAUUCCAACUAGCUUGUUAUUUGAAUAUAUAUUAUUAUUAGUCUGGAAUAAGUAUUAUCAGGAACUUCCUCCAAAAUUCUGUAAGAGUGACAGAGCUUCUCCUUAUUUUUGCAGGAUGGGUGAGCAUGAUUUGCAGAUAGGAAGAUGUUUUGACAUUGAAUAAGUACCCUUUUUUCUAUUGCUAGUUUGUAUGAAAGUUAAAUGUAUUAUGAGAGAAAAGCUUGUGUAUUUAUUCAUUGAAGGAUCUGUUUAUAUACACAGAUUUGUAAUAUUGGCGGGAAAGGGAAAAAUGAAACUGACUAACAAAUCUGUUACAUUCUACUGCAUUCUAGAAUAGUCUGGGGACUUCUAGGAAAUUUUACAUUAUGACUGGAAUCCAUACGUUAAACGCCAUCAUUUUGCUUCUGUGUUUUCUCGGUGUUUUACGAUGUCGUAUUAACUUGGUAUUUAGUCUCUUCAGCCCCUCUGCGAGAUGGAGUCGACCUAAUUUGGGAGAGUCCCAUCUUGGACAAAAGACUCUAAAACUGCGCAGCUCCUAAAGACUUUGUGAAGAGAUCUGCGAUCUGUUGUCGCGAAGGGAAAUGCAAGGUUGUGAUGAACCCUCUAGUGAUUUGGUCACGAACUAGGUGGAAGUCGAUAUCGAGGUGCUUCGUUCGUUUGUGAAAAACGUUGGGCGGCCCGAUUAUCGCAAUGCAGGGGUAUGGGGAGAUUUGACCAGAUCUGGAAAUCUUUGAGGAGAUAAGUAACCCAUUGAAUCUCACAUGCUGUCACAGCCAUACUACGAUAUUUAGCUUUAGCUGAAGAGCGACUAACCGUGUUUUGCUUCUUUGUUUUACAGGAAAUAAGAGAGGAGCUAUUUUGUUAAAAGCCUGUAUGGCCUAAAAUAUGCGAAUUGGUUAAAAGCCUGUUGUGAGAUUAAGUGGUUACAAGGGAAUAGAUGGCUCGAACUUAUUCUACCAGUUGUGAACAAAUUCCUUAGCCGCUUGCUACUCAAAGGUCAAUGCUAGACAACUUUCAUUAUUUUUUUUAUGGCAAAAAAGGAAAGACAAUGUUGCAAUCUAGUGGGAAGGAAAUUUUUAUUAUCCUAUGAUGACAAGUUGCCUGUAAGUAAUUAUUUCAUAAUUUAACUUGAUUAUGUAUCAAUUUUAAGUGAUACAAUUUUUAAAAAUGAUUUGUUUGAGAAAUAAAAAAUGGAAAAACAAAAAUCAAAUUGGACCA
Long non-coding RNA from Manihot esculenta (cassava), 1506 nucleotides. RefSeq lists it as uncharacterized. The transcript has 2 exons. NCBI's taxonomy places the organism in Eukaryota, Viridiplantae, Streptophyta, Magnoliopsida, Malpighiales, Euphorbiaceae. The record is from RefSeq and is a predicted model, not a curated record.